Molecule: ribosomal RNA, 253 nt
Filed under: uncultured bacterium
Lineage: Bacteria
Description: partial 16S ribosomal RNA
Rfam family: Bacterial small subunit ribosomal RNA
Source: RNAcentral
UACGAAGGUGGCAAGCGUUGUUCGGAUUCACUGGGCGUACAGGGAGCGUAGGCGGUUGGGUAAGCCCUCCGUGAAAUCUCCGGGCCCAACCCGGAAAGUGCAGAGGGGACUGCUCGGCUAGAGGACGGGAGAGGAGCGCGGAAUUCCCGGUGUAGCGGUGAAAUGCGUAGAGAUCGGGAGGAAGGCCGGUGGCGAAGGCGGCGCUCUGGAACGUUUCUGACGAUGAGGCUCGAAAGCGUGGGGAGCAAACAGG